AGUGAACGCUGGCGGUAGGCCUGACACAUGCAAGUCGAACGGCAGCACAGUAAGAGCUUGCUCUUACGGGUGGCGAGUGGCGGACGGGUGAGGAAUACAUCGGAAUCUACUUUUUCGUGGGGGAUAACGUAGGGAAACUUACGCUAAUACCGCAUACGACCUACGGGUGAAAGCAGGGGAUCUUCGGACCUUGCGCGAUUGAAUGAGCCGAUGUCGGAUUAGCUAGUUGGCGGGGUAAAGGCCCACCAAGGCGACGAUCCGUAGCUGGUCUGAGAGGAUGAUCAGCCACACUGGAACUGAGACACGGUCCAGACUCCUACGGGAGGCAGCAGUGGGGAAUAUUGGACAAUGGGCGCAAGCCUGAUCCAGCCAUACCGCGUGGGCGAAGAAGGCCUUCGGGUUGUAAAGCCCUUUUGUUGGGAAAGAAAAGCAGCAGGUUAAUACCCCGCUGUUCUGACGGUACCCAAAGAAUAAGCACCGGCUAACUUCGUG
RNAcentral lists this ribosomal RNA (492 nucleotides) under uncultured bacterium. RNAcentral describes it as "partial 16S ribosomal RNA". It matches the Rfam family "Bacterial small subunit ribosomal RNA", at positions 29 to 507 of the family's 1533-position model. The record is from RNAcentral.